This 379-nucleotide ribosomal RNA is filed under the name uncultured marine Chaetocerotaceae. RNAcentral describes it as "SSU rRNA". It matches the Rfam family "Eukaryotic small subunit ribosomal RNA", at positions 587 to 972 of the family's 1831-position model. The record is from RNAcentral. Lineage: Eukaryota; Bacillariophyta; Thalassiosirophyceae; Chaetocerotales; Chaetocerotaceae.
AGCUCCAAUAGCGUAUAUUAAAGUUGCUGCAGUUAAAAAGCUCGUAGUUGCAUUUCCGAGGCAAGGGAUUAGUCCGACCUUUGGUGGGUAUUUAAUCCUCUUGCCUCGUCCUUGAGUGGUGCUUCUUGGUAUUAAGUUAUCGAGGAGAUAGCCGCUCAUCGUUCUGUGAGAAAAUUAGAGUGUUCAAAGCAGGCUUAUGCCGUUGAAUAUAUUAGCAUGGAAUAAUAAGAUAGGACCUCGGUACUAUUUUGUUGGUUUGAGAACCAAGGUAAUGAUGAAUAGGGACAGUUGGGGGUAUUCGUAUUCAGUUGUCAGAGGUGAAAUUCUUAGAUUUACGGAAGACGAACUACUGCGAAAGCAUUUACCAAGGAUGUUUUCA